GGGGUCGUGGUGUAGCCUGGUUUAACACACUGCCCUGUCAAGGCAGAGAUCACGGGUUCAAAUCCCGCCGACCCCG
Molecule: transfer RNA, 76 nt
Filed under: Endomicrobium proavitum
Lineage: Bacteria; Pseudomonadati; Elusimicrobiota; Endomicrobiia; Endomicrobiales; Endomicrobiaceae
Rfam family: tRNA
About the family: Transfer RNA (tRNA) molecules are approximately 80 nucleotides in length. Their secondary structure includes four short double-helical elements and three loops (D, anti-codon, and T loops). Further hydrogen bonds mediate the characteristic L-shaped molecular structure. tRNAs have two regions of fundamental functional importance: the anti-codon, which is responsible for specific mRNA codon recognition, and the 3' end, to which the tRNAs corresponding amino acid is attached (by aminoacyl-tRNA synthetases). tRNAs cope with the degeneracy of the genetic code in two manners: having more than one tRNA (with a specific anti-codon) for a particular amino acid; and 'wobble' base-pairing, i.e. permitting non-standard base-pairing at the 3rd anti-codon position.
Source: Rfam by way of RNAcentral